CGGCGUGCCUAACACAUGCAAGUCGAGCGAGAAGCCUUUUCAAGACUCUUCGGAUGAUUUAAAGGUGGAAAGCGGCGGACGGGUGAGUAACGCGUGGGCAACCUGCCUUAGACAGGGGGAUAACACCGGGAAACCGAUGCUAAUACCGCAUAACACAUAGAUAUCGCAUGGUAUUUAUGUCAAAGGAGAAAUCCGGUAUAAGAUGGGCCCGCGUCCAAUUAGCUAGUUGGUGGGGUAGAGGCCUACCAAGGCGACGAUUGGUAGCCGAACUGAGAGGUUGAUCGGCCACAUUGGGACUGAGAGACGGCCCAGACUCCUACGGGAGGCAGCAGUGGGGAAUAUUGCGCAAUGGGGGGAACCCUGACGCAGCAACGCCGCGUGAAGGAUGAAGGUCUUCGGAUCGUAAACUUCUUUGAUUGGGGAAGAAGCAGUGACGGUACCCAAAGAACAAGCCACGGCUAACUACGUGCCAGCAGCCGCGGUAAUACGUAGGUGGCAAGCGUUGUCCGGAAUUACUGGGUGUAAAGGGCGUGUAGGCGGGGAUGCAAGUCAGAUGUGAAAAUCCGUGGCUCAACUGCGGAACUGCAUCUGAAACUGUAUCUCUUGAGUGCUGGAGAGGGAAGUGGAAUUCCUAGUGUAGCGGUGAAAUGCGUAGAGAUUAGGAAGAACACCAGUGGCGAAGGCGGCUUCCUGGACAGUAACUGACGCUGAGGCGCGAAAGCGUGGGGAGCGAACAGGAUUAGAUACCCUGGUAGUCCACGCCGUAAACGAUGGAUACUA
Molecule: ribosomal RNA, 780 nt
Filed under: uncultured organism
Description: bacterial SSU rRNA
Rfam family: Bacterial small subunit ribosomal RNA
Source: RNAcentral